Molecule: long non-coding RNA, 1516 nt
Organism: Humulus lupulus (European hop)
Lineage: Eukaryota; Viridiplantae; Streptophyta; Magnoliopsida; Rosales; Cannabaceae
Exons: 8
Source: RefSeq, a predicted model, not a curated record
UCAUAAUACAAAAAGAAAAUGCUCUCCUAGCUGAAAUGGGUUCUCUCUAUCUCUACCCUAACCUUCUUGCCUCACGCCUCUCCCCUCGGUCUCUCUUUCUCUCUCUAUCCCUUCUCUCUCUCUCUCUCUCUCUCUCUCUCUCUCUCUCUCUCGCAUGGGCGACUGAAGAAUGGAAGGAUACAGGGGCUUCUAUGUCUCAGCGAUGGGCUUCGGGCAGGGACUGUACUCUCUUUCCCUCUCACUCACUCUCGCUCUCACAAAACUCUUUCCCUCUCGCUAUCUCUUUCUCUCUAUGAGAUAUUCUCUCGUUCAACCUUUCUCUCUAUUUGUUGCAGGUGUGCUCUAGGGUGCUGGGCUCUUGAGGCGUGUUACAGGGAGACUCAGCUCAUGGGUUCUACAGGGUGGCUUCCUCGUCCGUGCGAUGGGUUCGACUUCGAUGAGAUUGUACUGCAACAAAUUGAUUUUCUGGGUUUGUUAACAACUUGCCCAUGGGAUACCCUGUUCUACCACAGCCUCCAAUGCCAGCCACAGGUCAACCUCAUCUCGACUCAAUGAACUGUGGAAUAUCAAGCUGUCAUGUGGUUAAUGGUGUCCCUGCACCGAGCAACUAUCAUCCUAUUAGGAUGAACUCUGGAAAUGAUAUGUUGAUGGACAGCAAUGGCGGUGAUAUGGCACUUGUUAUUCCCCCAAGUAGUGCAAUGUCUUCCAUGUAAGAGAUGGCCAUGAGUCCUACAUCAGUGGCAUCCAGCAGUCACUUCCCAUUCACGGCAUCAGAAAAAUCAGUAGUGGGAUUAGAGGGAUCUCUCAAUAUUUGGCAACCAAAUUUGAUUCAAAAUGUCAGGGCAUCACCAUCACUCCAAGCUCAAAGGAUCAAUUCUCUCUCUUCUGCUCAAGGAUUGGCCACUAAGUUCAUAUUGGGUUUUCGUUGUAGUGAUGCUUAAAGAAAUGCAUUUCAAUCUAUAUCUCAAGGCAUUAAAAGAUCCCUUCUGGAGUACUAUAAGUAUAGAUUCUAAUGUUUGAGUUGCUGAUGCGGCUCUCAGAGCAUUGAAUUGGAGUGACAUAACCGGGAAACGCAUAAAACAUGAACCAAGCUGCCUUGGUAGAGCAUGUCAGAAUUUGUACUUUUGGGCUCCAAAAGGAUAUCUGAUUCAGUUCAUGAAGUUGCCAAUGCUUUACUGAAGAGAUUGCUUCCUGGACAUGAACUUUGUUUUAUUUUCAAGAUUGUCUCCAAGCUAAGCAAAUGGACUCACAACAAAGACAAGUGCACAAAGGAUGAUGAAUUGAAGGAUGGAGCAAGUUUCAUGCAUGGUUUGCUUUUGUGUAUCUUGUAAUGUUUCUGUUUUUCAUUUUUGAAGUAAAAAAUGUUUAAGAUUAUAAAAAUUUAUUAUGUUAUGCUUUCAAACAUAAGUUAGAACUAAGAUCUCAUGAAGUAGACACAUUCAUGGUUUGAAUUAGUUAUUGUUUAAUGUAAUACUUAUGGUUUAUCAAUCUAUUGAGAAUUACAUUUUAUGAAUAA